CUGAGUGUCCUACCCACAAUGGGCGGGUUUAAAAAGAAGAAAGUGGGUGGCCGUUAGUCCGGAGCUACACAGGAAGUACGACUUUUUUUAUCAACAUCAAAAUUUAAAACGUGUGAACUUCACAAAACACCACGCAUUUACAACAAACCCGGCGGAAGAGCAAACUGGGAAGCGGGGAAAAUGACCUUGUCUCCGCCGCCGCUGUGCUGAGCCUGCAGCAGGACAGAGUAAGGCCAUUUCCCUCAACCUGCAAUUCAAACCUGGGCCGUUACUGCAAAAGCACUCAGGGGUUCUCAUCUCGUUCUCUCUGGUGGGGGAUAUUUCCAAUCGCUAUGCUGUCAGUCCGAGUGUUGGGUUCAGCUCUGCACGUGGACAGGAAAUGGCGCCUUCCUGAUGAAACGGUCAUGACAAAGCCCUUUGUUUCCUUAGGCAUGAUCAGCUGUUGUUUGAGUUGAGAAGCGGCUCCCAAACAAACUGAAAUGGCAUGCAAGUCAUCCUCAGUUCAGUUAGUGGCGUCACCAUUUUUGCCGUAACGGUGGUCAGACUAACAAUCAUUUUAAAAUGACUGCUUAUCAAGGUGAACACGAGCACAUUCAGCACGCACCAUUACAGUAUUGUGUCGAUUUUCAUUAAGGAAAUAUCACGAAUAUUAGUCAGCUGUUGGGGGACCUCAAUGCCCCCUGGCUUAGUAACAGUGAACACCCAGAGACAUGUCAUAUGCCAUUCCCCCUUUUAGUGAGCUGAUGCAGUAGGUGUGUUUGUUCCCUGAAGCCCUAGACAGCCCGUGCACAACCCUGGGGCAGAAGGCUAAAGGUUCAGGCAUCUUGUACAUCAGCUUGUCAGCACACUCGGUUUACACAGUCCUGCCAGCUGUCAUCAGACACAGCUCCCAGCAGCCUGGCAUCACAGACCAGUGUGCGCAGUCUGCGUGGAUGAGGCAGCGCGCGGCUGGCCAGUGAUGUUGCAGGGCACCUGGCAGGUGGGCGGGGUCUUUAGCUCUUACCUGCGUAAUCUGUGUUCACUCAGGGGGGGGUCUUUAGGUCUGUCUGGCGUCAUCGGCCGCUGUGUUUGCUCACGGGGGAGGGGUGUUGAGCUCUUUCUGCCGUCGUCGGCCUCUGUUCACACAGGGGGGUGUUCAGCUCACAACGCUAUUGUUGGUCUCUGUUCACACAAGGGGGUGUUUAGCUCAUAACACUGUUGUUGGUCUCUGUGUUCGCACAGGGGGGUGUCCUGCUCUGUGCACCGAAACAGCUAUGAACCAUCUAUUUUAUUUAUCUGUGUAUUUUCUGUUGAGGAGGCAUCACCCUCCCUUUUGUUUUGUGAUUGGUUAAAUGUUGCUUUGAUGUUUUUUUUUUUAUGCCAGCCCGAGCUUCAAAGCAAAGUGAUGCAAUUCAAGCCAGAGACAGGCCUCCAUUAAAAACAAAGGCUUCCAGCAUG
This is a long non-coding RNA of Anguilla anguilla (European eel), 1437 nucleotides long. RefSeq lists it as uncharacterized. NCBI's taxonomy places the organism in Eukaryota, Metazoa, Chordata, Actinopteri, Anguilliformes, Anguillidae. The record is from RefSeq and is a predicted model, not a curated record. The transcript has 3 exons.